This is a non-coding RNA of Gossypium raimondii (Peruvian cotton), 124 nucleotides long. NCBI's taxonomy places the organism in Eukaryota, Viridiplantae, Streptophyta, Magnoliopsida, Malvales, Malvaceae. The record is from Rfam.
AAUAGGAGAAUGACAAAUCAGAUUUUUCCUCCUGAUUUUCAGCUUUUUCCUCCUGAAAAAAUUUAAAUCCAACUAAAAAUGCUAAAAAUCAGGAGAAAAAAAUUUAAUUUGUCAUUCUCCUAUU